CGAUAGAGUAAGCAGAACAAGGCAGGGCAACCUUAAGCAGGUGUAAAGGACAGUUUGAAGAAGGACACAGGCUCCGUGUGUGACCUAUCGUCUGUCGGCCCGGGAGAGCGGCUCUGCUUUCGCCCAAUGCAGAGAUCAUCUAUCCGUUGCUGUCACAUGAGGACGUGUGUCUGCCUAUUCUACACCCAUUCUCUGAUCCAGUAGGGUGCAGCACAUCAGUCUGCUGAAGGCCUCAAGCAUCCAUCACCCUGAACCCCAGCAGGCCUGUCACACUGUCUCACUCCCCUGAUUCUGCCUCUUCUCCUUCAGCACGCACCCCUCAGCCCUCCCUGGAGACCCCAGGGCCCCUCAUCCUCAAUGGAGAGCAGGGAGUGGGAUGCGGGACCCUCGCCCAGGAGAUCUGCCUCACUCCUGGGAACCUGAGGGAGGAUCCUCUGCCGGCACAGGGCUUCCAUGAUGUCUCGACUCUCACAGAUCUGUGCUCCAGUGUGGAUCUGCCAGAGGUGGAGAUUGUCAGCUUGCUUACAGAAAAGUUGCCCAAAUACACUCUGCGGGCAGACCAUGUGUUUGGGUACGAGCAUGACGACUGGCUGCACACACCUCUGCUGCCACCAGAGGCCCCUCUUGGACUUACAGAGGAGCAGAUCGACGAGACACUCAAGUACUUCUGUGAGUCCGCACUGUUUGUUUUUACUAUACUGCUUUGCCAUUUC
Sinocyclocheilus anshuiensis is the source of this 713-nucleotide long non-coding RNA. Lineage: Eukaryota; Metazoa; Chordata; Actinopteri; Cypriniformes; Cyprinidae. The record is from Ensembl.